UAAUACAGAGGGUGCGAGCGUUAAUCGGAAUUACUGGGCGUAAAGGGUGCGUAGGUGGUUAAUUAAGUCAGAUGUGAAAUCCCCGGGCUUAACCUGGGAAUUGCAUAUGAUACUGUUUAACUAGAGUGUGGAAGAGGGAAGUGGAAUUUCCGGUGUAGCGGUGAAAUGCGUAGAUAUCGGAAGGAACAUCAGUGGCGAAGGCGACUUCCUGGUCCAUUACUGACACUGAGGCACGAAAGCGUGGGGAGCAAACAGGAUUAGAUACCCUGGUAGUCCACGCUGUAAACGAUGAGAACUAGAUGUUAGAGGGCUUCGGCUUUUUAGUAUCGUAGCUAACGCGAUAAGUUCUCCGCCUGGGGAGUACGGCCGCAAGGUUA
This 377-nucleotide ribosomal RNA is filed under the name uncultured bacterium. RNAcentral describes it as "bacterial SSU rRNA". It matches the Rfam family "Bacterial small subunit ribosomal RNA", at positions 521 to 896 of the family's 1533-position model. The record is from RNAcentral.